Molecule: ribosomal RNA, 484 nt
Filed under: uncultured bacterium
Lineage: Bacteria
Description: partial 16S ribosomal RNA
Rfam family: Bacterial small subunit ribosomal RNA
Source: RNAcentral
AUUGAACGCUGGCGGCAGGCCUAACACAUGCAAGUCGAGCGGAUGAAGGGAGCUUGCUCCUGGAUUCAGCGGCGGACGGGUGAGUAAUGCCUAGGAAUCUGCCUGGUAGUGGGGGAUAACGUCCGGAAACGGGCGCUAAUACCGCAUACGUCCUGAGGGAGAAAGUGGGGGAUCUUCGGACCUCACGCUAUCAGAUGAGCCUAGGUCGGAUUAGCUAGUUGGUGGGGUAAAGGCCUACCAAGGCGACGAUCCGUAACUGGUCUGAGAGGAUGAUCAGUCACACUGGAACUGAGACACGGUCCAGACUCCUACGGAAGGCAGCAGUGGGGAAUAUUGGACAAUGGGCGAAAGCCUGAUCCAGCCAUGCCGCGUGUGUGAAGAAGGUCUUCGGAUUGUAAAGCACUUUAAGUUGGGAGGAAGGGCAGUAAGUUAAUACCUUGCCGUUUUGACGUUACCAACAGAAUAAGCACCGGCUAACUUCGUG